This 119-nucleotide ribosomal RNA is filed under the name Lepisosteus oculatus (spotted gar). The record is from RNAcentral. Lineage: Eukaryota; Metazoa; Chordata; Actinopteri; Semionotiformes; Lepisosteidae.
UUUAGCAACCAUAUCACCCUGCAACUUACAACUGGCAACCCACUGAAGCUAAGCAGGUGUGAGCCUGGUCAGUACCUGGAUGGGAGACCUCCUGGGAAAAAUAAAGGUUUCUGCUGGAA